UCCUAGUACGAGAGGACCGGAGUGGACGCAUCACUGGUGUUCGGGUUGUCAUGCCAAUGGCACUGCCCGGUAGCUAAAUGCGGAAGAGAUAAGUGCUGAAAGCAUCUAAGCACGAAACUUGCCCCGAGAUGAGUUCUCCCUGACUCCUUGAGAGUCCUGAAGGAACGUUGAAGACGACGACGUUGAUAGGCCGGGUGUGUAAGCGCAGCGAUGCGUUGAGCUAACCGGUACUAAUGAACCGUGAGGCUUAACCUUACAACGCCGAAGCUGUU
Molecule: ribosomal RNA, 272 nt
Filed under: Escherichia coli
Lineage: Bacteria; Pseudomonadati; Pseudomonadota; Gammaproteobacteria; Enterobacterales; Enterobacteriaceae
Description: partial 23S ribosomal RNA
Rfam family: Bacterial large subunit ribosomal RNA
Source: RNAcentral